GAUGAACGCUGGCGGCGUGCCUAAUACAUGCAAGUCGAGCGAACAGACGAGGAGCUUGCUCCUCUGACGUUAGCGGCGGACGGGUGAGUAACACGUGGAUAACCUACCUAUAAGACUGGGAUAACUUCGGGAAACCGGAGCUAAUACCGGAUAAUAUAUUGAACCGCAUGGUUCAAUAGUGAAAGACGGUUUUGCUGUCACUUAUAGAUGGAUCCGCGCCGCAUUAGCUAGUUGGUAAGGUAACGGCUUACCAAGGCAACGAUGCGUAGCCGACCUGAGAGGGUGAUCGGCCACACUGGAACUGAGACACGGUCCAGACUCCUACGGGAGGCAGCAGUAGGGAAUCUUCCGCAAUGGGCGAAAGCUUGACGGAGCAACGCCGCGUGAGUGAUGAAGGUCUUCGGAUCGUAAAACUCUGUUAUUAGGGAAGAACAAAUGUGUAAUUAACUAUGCACGUCUUGACGGUACCUAAUCAGAAAGCCCCGGCUAACUACGUG
This 497-nucleotide ribosomal RNA is filed under the name uncultured bacterium. RNAcentral's name for it is "partial 16S ribosomal RNA". It matches the Rfam family "Bacterial small subunit ribosomal RNA", at positions 28 to 507 of the family's 1533-position model. The record is from RNAcentral.